Molecule: ribosomal RNA, 499 nt
Filed under: uncultured bacterium
Lineage: Bacteria
Description: bacterial SSU rRNA
Rfam family: Bacterial small subunit ribosomal RNA
Source: RNAcentral
GAUCCUGGCUCAGAUUGAACGCUGGCGGCAGGCCUAACACAUGCAAGUCGAACGGUAACAGGAAGAAGCUUGCUCUUGCUGACGAGUGGCGGACGGGUGAGUAAUGUCUGGGAAACUGCCUGAUGAGGGGAUAACUACUGGAAACGGUAGCUAAUACCGCAUAACGUCGCAAGACCCAAAAGAGGGGGACCUUCGGGCCUCUUGCCAUCGGAUGUGCCCAGAUGGGAUUAGCUAGUAGGUGGGGUAACGGCUCACCUAGGCGACGAUCCCUAGCUGGUCUGAGAGGAUGACCAGCCACACUGGAACUGAGACACGGUCCAGACUCCUACGGGAGGCAGCAGUGGGGAAUAUUGCACAAUGGGCGCAAGCCUGAUGCAGCCAUGCCGCGUGUAUGAAGAAGGCCUCGGGUUGUAAAGUACUUCAGCGGGGAGGAAGGGAGUAAAGUUAAUACCUUUGCUCAUUGACGUUACCCGCAGAAGAAGCACCGGCUAACUCCGUG